GGCGUGAGCCACCGCGCCUGGCCAAUCAUAAAGAGUUUUAAGGGAAAAUUAGGUCUCCAAUGAAGACUGAGUAGCAGUAGAAGACACAGAGGGGUGAACACAAGCUUUGUGUGAGUGAAACAUACCAGUAAGCAGAUUUACUGGGGAAGGAACAAGUACAGACCAGAGAAUGCCAGGGUGCAGAGUUUCAAUCUUUCACUCUCAGGCAGAGUUGCCCUUUCACUUUGCUUCUUAUCUCCCUUAGCGUGGGGGUCUGGAGUUACCUCGUGUCUGCCCCAUUUUUCUCAGACCCCUAACUACUACAUCAAAGACCCACCCGAGACAGACUAAUGAUUUGCUUUCUAGCAAUGUUUCUCAAACUUCCUUCACUUAACAAUUUUUGCCAUCUUUACAUAUGUAACAUUUUCUUAACACUUUUCUUUAAAUCAACUCAAUUUUGA
RNAcentral lists this long non-coding RNA (440 nucleotides) under Homo sapiens (human). Its description in RNAcentral is "non-protein coding lnc-WAC-1:1". The record is from RNAcentral. Lineage: Eukaryota; Metazoa; Chordata; Mammalia; Primates; Hominidae.